GACGAACGCUGGCGGCGUGCCUAAUACAUGCAAGUCGAGCGAACGGACGAGGAGUUUGCGUCUCUGAUGUUAGAGGCGGAGGGGAGAGUCACACGUGGAUAACCUACCUAUAAGACUGGGAUAACUACGCGAAACCGGAGCUAAGACCGGAUAAUAUUUUGCAUCGCAUGGUUCAAAAGUGAAAGUCGGUCUUGGUGUCACUAAUAGAUGGAUCAGCGCUGGAUUAGCUAGUGGGUAGGGUAACGGCUUACCAAGGCAGGGAUGGAAAGACGACCUAAAAGGGAGGUCGCAUAGCUGGGCAGAGAGGAUGGUCCCAGACACCUGCGGUGGGCAGCAGUCGGGAAUCCUACGCAAUGGGGGAGAGCCUGACAGAGCAACGCGGGGUGAGUGAUGAUGCACCUAGGAUCGGAAAACUCUGUUAUUAGGGGGGAACAUAUGUGUAAGUACCUGUGCAGAUCUUGACGGUACCUGAUCAGAAAGCUCCGGCUAACUACGUG
This 497-nucleotide ribosomal RNA is filed under the name uncultured bacterium. RNAcentral's name for it is "partial 16S ribosomal RNA". It matches the Rfam family "Bacterial small subunit ribosomal RNA", at positions 28 to 507 of the family's 1533-position model. The record is from RNAcentral.